AGCGAACGCUGGCGGCAGGCCUAACACAUGCAAGUCGAACGAAGCCUUCGGGCUUAGUGGCGGACGGGUGAGUAACACGUGGGAACGUACCUUUAGGUUCGGAACAACUCAGGGAAACUUGAGCUAAUACCGGAUAAGCCCUUCGGGGGAAAGAUUUAUCGCCUUUAGAGCGGCCCGCGUUAGAUUAGCUAGUUGGUGAGGUAAAGGCUCACCAAGGCUACGAUCUAUAGCUGGUCUGAGAGGAUGAUCAGCCACACUGGGACUGAGACACGGCCCAGACUCCUACGGGAGGCAGCAGUGGGGAAUCUUGCGCAAUGGGCGAAAGCCUGACGCAGCCAUGCCGCGUGAAUGAUGAAGGUCUUAGGAUUGUAAAAUUCUUUUACCAGGGACGAUAAUGACGGUACCUGGAGAAAAAGCCCCGGCUAACUUCGUGUCAGCAGCCGCCGUAA
Molecule: ribosomal RNA, 449 nt
Filed under: uncultured bacterium
Lineage: Bacteria
Description: partial 16S ribosomal RNA
Rfam family: Bacterial small subunit ribosomal RNA
Source: RNAcentral